Non-coding RNA from Saimiri boliviensis boliviensis (Bolivian squirrel monkey), 744 nucleotides. The record is from RefSeq and is a predicted model, not a curated record. NCBI's taxonomy places the organism in Eukaryota, Metazoa, Chordata, Mammalia, Primates, Cebidae.
AUUGGAAGCGCCAUCGGCUUGCGCGUCUGACGAGGAUGCAGAACCCGGUGACCGACUGAGCUGUAUUUCUGAAGCAUUUGCUAGGUUUUGCCUCGCUGAGCCUCGGGGAGCACCCAGGCGCGGGGCGGAGGACCCUGUCACAGAGCCGACACCUGCUCGCGCGCCCCUCCCCCGCCCACGCCGGGCCCGGGCUUGCCCUCCCUAUCUGCAGCGCCCACAGCGCCUGCCCGCCCCGCCCAUCCUUCCUGGGCAACCCAGAGGAUGGCGUGAGGUCUCCUGGAAGCCCCGAGGACCGGACCGGGGGCGUGGUGGGGCACUGUAGACCGGAGUUUUUAUUCUCCUUGGGCGCCGACACUCGGCUGCGGAAUCGAGUUUGAGCUCGGGGUAGUUGAAGUUUAAAUUGUAGCUGUUUCAAAGGUAGACCCCACCUCACCCCCACCCCUGGACCAAGACCUCUGGAAGCGUCCUGCCUGGAAGCCGCUUGUGGUGAGGGGUUUCCUGGGGUCUCCAGGUUCCCACUGGAGCACGCCUGGGGAUGCCUUGGGAUUCUGAGGAACCCCAUAUUCAGCACCCCUGCUUAACCUCCUUUCAAGAAGAAAAAAAUGGAACUUGGUAAAUUUCACUCAAAGGAGAGACCCACUAAUACCUCCACCCACCUCAUACCCAAUGACAGUCUGGCUGUCCCUCUGUCUUCGUCUGUUCAGGAUGAUAUAACAAAAUGCUAUAAAAUGGUUGACUUAUAAA